Sparus aurata (gilthead seabream) is the source of this 2390-nucleotide long non-coding RNA. NCBI's taxonomy places the organism in Eukaryota, Metazoa, Chordata, Actinopteri, Spariformes, Sparidae. The record is from Ensembl.
AUGCUUUGCUGCAGGUGUGUGCUGCCUCUCCUGGCUCUGUACGUGUCGUUGGAGGAGAUAUCCGCUGCUGUGUUGCCAAGUUCUUCCAGAAACAAAAGGGUAGGUCUCCGUUUUAGACGGAUCUGAUACCUGCAGGCAUUAAACCCAGUUCAGUCUAUUUUAUAAUCUGAUUAUCGUCCUCAGGAAGUGAGCUGGCUGGAGCAGGAGCUCUUCCCCCACCUGCAUGACCCCUCGGACCAGAGGGACCUGUCCGUGGGCGACGCUGGGGACAUGGGAAGGGAUGUGGAGGGCCGCCCCGCUCACUCAGAGAGCUUUUUGGCCCCGACGGAGCACCUUAGUGUCCAACACCAGAACCAGAACCAGAACCAGUUCCAGUACCAACGUAAAGCCAAUGAAAAGAGGAGGAAGGUUGCUCCCCUCGACUCCAUCGGCCGCUUUCAAAUGUCCAGUUCCCGAAGCCGAAAAGAUGAACCAGAUGUCCAGUGGGAAGAAAUCAGAGAGUGAAGAGCAGCGCCAACAACUGAGCCCUUUCUAUUGCAUUCUGUUUAAUAUGUCUUCCAUGAUAUUUAUUCAUUAUUAUUUAACUCGCUGCCAUACUAACAAGUGAGACACCUGUCGACUGACUCCCUCUAGUGGUCGAACAGACACACGACAAACACUGCUGUGUGCCAACAUCUAAUCCAACAUUACAUAAAUGUUUCAAAUGUCUUUUUUUUUUAAUGUGUACAGUCAAUAAAAAUGAUUUUAAAAAGCACCAUCUUACCUUUAUGUUCCCAAAGACUUUUAUUUUUCAAGCUACAAUUAAAGAAAACAAUAUCAGACUGCAGAAAAUAUAGAUUUUGCUUGGGUAUUUUCUCUCUUCACUUUCACAUAUGUACAGUUGUCAAAGAACAGGAUAUGUACACAGAAUUGAAGUCGUAGAGAGAGUGCAACUGCUACUGGAGACUUACCAACACACUCCCACCAACAAAAGAAAAAGCACGUGGUAAAACCAAACAACAUAAAACAAAUGCCACAAACCUACGCGGCAUCAACUUAUUUUUCUGUACACUACAACUUUGUUCUCCAUGUGAGACAAUCUUAUGUCCAUUCUCUGACGCGGGGCGCUUCUCUAAAUCCCGCUCGCUCAGAAAGCUAAGAAAUAAAACAAUUACGAUGAAACAGAAGAACAAAUAUUUUACAACCAUUCAUAAACGAGCCUCAGAGCCACCGUUGAUAUCGUAAAGCACUGCCGAACCAUUCGUCUUACAGCAACAUUACCCCCUCAGAUCAGUUUUUAACAUGAAAAACUAUUUUUAAAAAAACAACAAAAAAAAAGAAACGAAAAAAACAAAACAAAAAAAAAAACACACAUGAAACAAAAACAUCAAAAUUCAAACAGCUUUCAAUGUAAAUGUUGUUCAUGGUAAAUGGCUAUCAAUGAUUACCAAGCCAGACAGGGAGAAACAUUAAGCGCUCAGUCAUCAAAGUACACAGCUACAUGCUAAGUACAGUUUUAAAUCAGCCGUAGCUCAUCAUGUUCCAGAUACCGCCGGUAUACGUGGCAGAAACGGUAUCUGGGUUUCUAUUUUUAAAAAAAGUGCACUGCCGAAAGUGUGCAAUUUGAAAUGUAGCAAUUUUCCGAUGCAAUUUCAGUAUGCAAAACAGUAAAUGUCAACAGAUUGUAUGAAUUCAAAAGAUCACUUAUUCUAAGAAGAGUGCGAUCUCUUACGGGUCAAUGUUCAGUGAUCACCACUGACGACGGAAAAAAUGAGAACCGCAAAAAAAAAAAAAAUAUCAGAAAUUAAGAAGGAGCUGCCCACUUUAUCACACGCUUCUGAACAAAAGAACAGGAGUUACGUUUUCCAUCUCUUCAGCUGUAGAUUUUAAUGUUAAUGUGUAAAACUCGCAUUGAUUUAAAAAGUUGAGGAAACGGCUACUGAACUGAAAAUGGGACUCCUCGAGACACUAAAAGGAAAUGUUUUCAUUGAUUUGUCGAUUUUCCUCGAAAUAAUUUACAUGUAAAAAAAAAAAAAAAAAAAAAAAUGCGCCUUCAGUUUCUGAGACUAAGUGUGACAAUAUAUGUGCACAUCACCAGCACAGAAUACAACAUUAAAGCCAAUUAAUAGAGGAAUUAAUUAGUAACAAAUAAAAUGAUUCUCCACUGUCACGCAGCCUUCUGUCCACUUCUUCACAGUAGCCAAAGAAAAUAAAAAAAAGGUAAGAAACAAACAAAACAAAACAAAAAGUGAGGGAUAAAUAAGAAUGGUUGUGAUUGUCAAAAAGAAAUCCUACAAAGUGACAAUACGGUUGCCAUCCAGGUGAUAGUUUAGGCUGUUUUGGCUGUAGGCAUCAAAGAAAACAAGAGUCAAGAGGACAGCAAAAAAAACAGGGUGGGUGCUCCUGGGGGU